AGAUUAAGUUAUUAAGGGCGCACGGUGGAUGCCUUGGCACUAGAAGCCGAUGAAGGACGUUACUAACGACGAUAUGCUUUGGGGAGCUGUAAGUAAGCUUUGAUCCAGAGAUUUCCGAAUGGGGAAACCCAGCAUGAGUUAUGUCAUGUUAUCGAUAUGUGAAUACAUAGCAUAUCAGAAGGCACACCCGGAGAACUGAAACAUCUUAGUACCCGGAGGAAGAGAAAGAAAAUUCGAUUCCCUUAGUAGCGGCGAGCGAAACGGGAAGAGCCCAAACCAACAAGCUUGCUUGUUGGGGUUGUAGGACACUCUAUACGGAGUUACAAAGGACGACAUUAGACGAAUCAUCUGGAAAGAUGAAUCAAAGAAGGUAAUAAUCCUGUAGUCGAAAAUGUUGUCUCUCUUGAGUGGAUCCUGAGUACGACGGAGCACGUGAAAUUCCGUCGGAAUCUGGGAGGACCAUCUCCUAAGGCUAAAUACUCUCUAGUGACCGAUAGUGAACCAGUACCGUGAGGGAAAGGUGAAAAGCACCCCGGAAGGGGAGUGAAAUAGAACCUGAAACCGUGUGCUUACAAGUAGUCAGAGCCCGUUAAUGGGUGAUGGCGUGCCUUUUGUAGAAUGAACCGGCGAGUUACGAUUUGAUGCAAGGUUAAGCAGUAAAUGUGGAGCCGUAGCGAAAGCGAGUCUGAAUAGGGCGUUUAGUAUUUGGUCGUAGACCCGAAACCAGGUGAUCUACCCUUGGUCAGGUUGAAGUUCAGGUAACACUGAAUGGAGGACCGAACCGACUUACGUUGAAAAGUGAGCGGAUGAACUGAGGGUAGCGGAGAAAUUCCAAUCGAACCUGGAGAUAGCUGGUUCUCUCCGAAAUAGCUUUAGGGCUAGCCUCAAGUGAUGAUUAUUGGAGGUAGAGCACUGUUUGGACGAGGGGCCCCUCUCGGGUUACCGAAUUCAGACAAACUCCGAAUGCCAAUUAAUUUAACUUGGGAGUCAGAACAUGGGUGAUAAGGUCCGUGUUCGAAAGGGAAACAGCCCAGACCACCAGCUAAGGUCCCAAAAUAUAUGUUAAGUGGAAAAGGAUGUGGCGUUGCCCAGACAACUAGGAUGUUGGCUUAGAAGCAGCCAUCAUUUAAAGAGUGCGUAAUAGCUCACUAGUCGAGUGACACUGCGCCGAAAAUGUACCGGGGCUAAACAUAUUACCGAAGCUGUGGAUUGUCCUUUGGACAAUGGUAGGAGAGCGUUCUAAGGGCGUUGAAGCAUGAUCGUAAGGACAUGUGGAGCGCUUAGAAGUGAGAAUGCCGGUGUGAGUAGCGAAAGACGGGUGAGAAUCCCGUCCACCGAUUGACUAAGGUUUCCAGAGGAAGGCUCGUCCGCUCUGGGUUAGUCGGGUCCUAAGCUGAGGCCGACAGGCGUAGGCGAUGGAUAACAGGUUGAUAUUCCUGUACCACCUAUAAUCGUUUUAAUCGAUGGGGGGACGCAGUAGGAUAGGCGAAGCGUGCGAUUGGAUUGCACGUCUAAGCAGUAAGGCUGAGUAUUAGGCAAAUCCGGUACUCAUUAAGGCUGAGCUGUGAUGGGGAGAAGACAUUGUGUCUUCGAGUCGUUGAUUUCACACUGCCGAGAAAAGCCUCUAGAUAGAAAAUAGGUGCCCGUACCGCAAACCGACACAGGUAGUCAAGAUGAGAAUUCUAAGGUGAGCGAGCGAACUCUCGUUAAGGAACUCGGCAAAAUGACCCCGUAACUUCGGGAGAAGGGGUGCUCUUUAGGGUUAACGCCCAGAAGAGCCGCAGUGAAUAGGCCCAAGCGACUGUUUAUCAAAAACACAGGUCUCUGCUAAACCGUAAGGUGAUGUAUAGGGGCUGACGCCUGCCCGGUGCUGGAAGGUUAAGAGGAGUGGUUAGCUUCUGCGAAGCUACGAAUCGAAGCCCCAGUAAACGGCGGCCGUAACUAUAACGGUCCUAAGGUAGCGAAAUUCCUUGUCGGGUAAGUUCCGACCCGCACGAAAGGCGUAACGAUUUGGGCACUGUCUCAACGAGAGACUCGGUGAAAUCAUAGUACCUGUGAAGAUGCAGGUUACCCGCGACAGGACGGAAAGACCCCGUGGAGCUUUACUGUAGCCUGAUAUUGAAAUUCGGCACAGCUUGUACAGGAUAGGUAGGAGCCUUUGAAACGUGAGCGCUAGCUUACGUGGAGGCGCUGGUGGGAUACUACCCUAGCUGUGUUGGCUUUCUAACCCGCACCACUUAUCGUGGUGGGAGACAGUGUCAGGCGGGCAGUUUGACUGGGGCGGUCGCCUCCUAAAAGGUAACGGAGGCGCUCAAAGGUUCCCUCAGAAUGGUUGGAAAUCAUUCAUAGAGUGUAAAGGCAUAAGGGAGCUUGACUGCGAGACCUACAAGUCGAGCAGGGUCGAAAGACGGACUUAGUGAUCCGGUGGUUCCGCAUGGAAGGGCCAUCGCUCAACGGAUAAAAGCUACCCCGGGGAUAACAGGCUUAUCUCCCCCAAGAGUUCACAUCGACGGGGAGGUUUGGCACCUCGAUGUCGGCUCAUCGCAUCCUGGGGCUGUAGUCGGUCCCAAGGGUUGGGCUGUUCGCCCAUUAAAGCGGUACGCGAGCUGGGUUCAGAACGUCGUGAGACAGUUCGGUCCCUAUCCGUCGUGGGCGUAGGAAAUUUGAGAGGAGCUGUCCUUAGUACGAGAGGACCGGGAUGGACAUACCUCUGGUGUACCAGUUGUCGUGCCAACGGCAUAGCUGGGUAGCUAUGUGUGGACGGGAUAAGUGCUGAAAGCAUCUAAGCAUGAAGCCCCCCUCAAGAUGAGAUUUCCCAACUUCGGUUAUAAGAUCCCUCAAAGAUGAUGAGGUUAAUAGGUUCGAGGUGGAAGCAUGGUGACAUGCGGAGCUGACGAAUACUAAUCGAUCGAAGACUUAAUCAAAUU
This 2927-nucleotide ribosomal RNA is filed under the name Staphylococcus aureus. RNAcentral describes it as "23S ribosomal RNA". It matches the Rfam family "Bacterial large subunit ribosomal RNA". Lineage: Bacteria; Bacillati; Bacillota; Bacilli; Caryophanales; Staphylococcaceae. The record is from RNAcentral.